RNAcentral lists this ribosomal RNA (406 nucleotides) under uncultured bacterium. RNAcentral's name for it is "partial 16S ribosomal RNA". It matches the Rfam family "Bacterial small subunit ribosomal RNA", at positions 29 to 526 of the family's 1533-position model. The record is from RNAcentral.
AUUGAACGCUGGCGGCAGGCUUAAAACAUGCAAGUCGAGCGAGCGGCGGACGGGUGAGUAAUGGCUGGGAAACUGCCUGAUGGAGGGGGAUAACUACUGGAAACGGUAGCUAAUACCGCAUACCAUCAGAUGUGCCAAGAUGGGAUGAGCUAGUAGGUGGGGUAAUGGCUCACCUAGGCGACGAUCCCUAGCUGGUCUGAGAGGAUGACCAGCCACACUGCAACGGAGACACGGUACAGACUCCUACGAGAGGCAGCAGUGGGGAAUAGUGCACAAUGGGCGCAAGCCGGAUGCAGCCAUGCCGCGGGUGUGAAGAAGGCCUUAGGGUUGUAAAGCACUGUCAGCGAGGAGGCGUUACUCGCAGAAGAAGCACCGGCUAACUCCGUGCCAGCAGCCACGGGAAUAC